UUUCCGGUUGAUCCCGCCGGACCUGACUGCUAUCGGAUUGAUACUAAGCCAUGCGAGUCUUUGUAGUAAUACAAGGCAGACGGCUCAGUAACACGUAGUCAACCUACCCUAUGGACAAGAAUAAUCUCGGGAAACUGGGCAUAAUUCUUGAUAGAUCAUAAUGCCUGGAAUGGUUUAUGGUUAAAAUGAUUCGUCGCCAUGGGAUGGGACUGCGGCCUAUCAGCUUGUUGGUGAGGUAAUGGCCCACCAAGGCGAUUACAGGUACGGGCUCUGAGAGGAGAAGCCCGGAGAUGGGUACUGAGACACGGACCCAGGCCCUAUGGGGCGCAGCAGGCGAGAAAACUUUGCAAUGUGCGAAAGCACGACAAGGUUAAUCCGAGUGAUUUCUGCUAAAGAAAUCUUUUGCCAGUCAUAAAACCACUGGUGAAUAAGGGGUGGGCAAGUUCUGGUGCCAGCCGCCGCGGUAAAACCAGCACCUCAAGUGGUCAGGAUGAUUAUUGGGCCUAAAGCAUCCGUAGCCGGCUUUGUUAGUUUUCGGUUAAAUCCAUGUGCUCAACACAUGGGCUGCCGAAAAUACUGCAUAGCUAGGGAGUGGGAGAGGUAGACGGUACUCAGUAGGAAGGGGUAAAAUCCUUUGAUCUAUUGAUGACCACCUGUGGCGAAGGCGGUCUACCAGAACACGUUCGACGGUGAGGGAUGAAAGCUGGGGGAGCAAACCGGAUUAGAUACCCGGGUAGUCCCAGCUGUAAACGAUGCAGACUCGAUGAUGCAUUGGCAUAAUAGCCAGUGCAGUGUCGCAGGGAAGCCGUUAAGUCUGCCGCCUGGGAAGUACGUACGCAAGUAUGAAACUUAAAGGAAUUGGCGGGGGAGCACCACAAGGGGUGAAGCCUGCGGUUCAAUUGGAGUCAACGCCGGGA
RNAcentral lists this ribosomal RNA (917 nucleotides) under uncultured archaeon. RNAcentral's name for it is "SSU rRNA". It matches the Rfam family "Archaeal small subunit ribosomal RNA", at positions 1 to 923 of the family's 1478-position model. The record is from RNAcentral.